GAAUUUCUUGACGACCAUAGAGCAUUGGAACCACCUGAUCCCAUCCCGAACUCAGCAGUGAAACGAUGCAUCGCCGAUGGUAGUGUGGGGUUUCCCCAUGUGAGAGUAGGUCAUCGUCAAGA
RNAcentral lists this ribosomal RNA (122 nucleotides) under Pseudomonas sp. 43mfcvi1.1. The record is from RNAcentral. Lineage: Bacteria; Pseudomonadati; Pseudomonadota; Gammaproteobacteria; Pseudomonadales; Pseudomonadaceae.